RNAcentral lists this ribosomal RNA (1217 nucleotides) under uncultured organism. RNAcentral's name for it is "SSU rRNA". It matches the Rfam family "Bacterial small subunit ribosomal RNA", at positions 43 to 1249 of the family's 1533-position model. The record is from RNAcentral.
AACGCUUUACACAUGCAAGUCGAACGGUAACGCGGUGAGAAGCUUGCUUCUCACCGGCGACGAGUGGCGAACGGGUGAGUAAUACAUCGGAACGUGUCCGCUCGUGGGGGACAACCAGCCGAAAGGUUGGCUAAUACCGCAUGAGUUCUACGGAAGAAAGAGGGGGGCCCGCAAGGGCCUCUCGCGAGCGGAGCGGCCGAUGACUGAUUAGCCGGUUGGUGAGGUAACGGCUCACCAAAGCAACGAUCAGUAGCUGGUCUGAGAGGACGACCAGCCACACUGGGACUGAGACACGGCCCAGACUCCUACGGGAGGCAGCAGUGGGGAAUUUUGGACAAUGGGCGCAAGCCUGAUCCAGCUAUUCCGCGUGUGGGAUGAAGGCCCUCGGGUUGUAAACCACUUUUGUAGAGAACGAAAAGACACCUUCGAAUAAAGGGUGUUGCUGACGGUACUCUAAGAAUAAGCACCGGCUAACUACGUGCCAGCAGCCGCGGUAAUACGUAGGGUGCGAGCGUUAAUCGGAAUUACUGGGCGUAAAGGGUGCGCAGGCGGUUGAGUAAGACAGAUGUGAAAUCCCCGAGCUUAACUCGGGAAUGGCAUAUGUGACUGCUCGACUAGAGUGUGUCAGAGGGAGGUGGAAUUCCACGUGUAGCAGUGAAAUGCGUAGAUAUGUGGAAGAACACCGAUGGCGAAGGCAGCCUCUUGGGACAUAACUGACGCUCAGGCACGAAAGCGUGGGGAGCAAACAGGAUUAGAUACCCUGGUAGUCCACGCCUUAAACGAUGUUAACUAGUUGUUGGGAAGUAAAAUUCUCAGUAACGCAGCCAACGUGAGAAGUUAACCGCCUGGGAAGUACGGUCGCAAGACUAAAACUCAAAGGAAUUGACGGGGACCUGCACAAGCGGUGGAUGAUGUGGAUUAAUUCGAUGCAACGCGAAAAACCUUACCUACCCUUGACAUGUCAGGAAGCUAUUGUAACGAGAGUGUGCCACGCAAGGGAACCUGAACACAGGUGCUGCAUGGCUGUCGUCAGUUAAUGUAGUGAGAUGUUGGGAUAACUCUCGCAAUGAGCGCAACCCUUGUCAUUAGUUGUUUCGAAAGGGCACUAUAGUGAGUCUGCCGGUGACAAACCGGAGGAAGGUGGGGAGGAUGUCAAGUAAUCAUGGCCACUAUGGUUAGGGAUUCACUCGUCAUACAAUGGUAGGAACAGAGGGCAG